Molecule: ribosomal RNA, 429 nt
Filed under: Bacteroidota bacterium
Lineage: Bacteria; Pseudomonadati; Bacteroidota
Description: Bacteroidetes bacterium partial 16S ribosomal RNA
Rfam family: Bacterial small subunit ribosomal RNA
Source: RNAcentral
UAGGGAAUCUUCGGCAAUGGGGGGAACCCUGACCGAGCAACGCCGCGUGAGUGAAGAAGGUUUUCGGAUCGUAAAGCUCUGUUGUUAAGGAAGAACGAGUGUGAGAAUGGAAAGUUCAUACUGUGACGGUACUUAACCAGAAAGGGACGGCUAACUACGUGCCAGCAGCCGCGGUAAUACGUAGGUCCCGAGCGUUGUCCGGAUUUAUUGGGCGUAAAGCGAGCGCAGGCGGUUAGAUAAGUCUGAAGUUAAAGGCAGUGGCUCAACCAUUGUAGGCUUUGGAAACUGUUUAACUUGAGUGCAGAAGGGGAGAGUGGAAUUCCAUGUGUAGCGGUGAAAUGCGUAGAUAUAUGGAGGAACUCCGGUGACGAAAGCGGCUCUCUGGUCUGUAACUGACGCUGAGGCUCGAAAGCGUGGGGAGCGAACAGG